AACUGAGACNAGGUCCCAGGCCNUACGGNGCGCAGCANGCGCGNNACCUCCGCAAUGCGCGAUAGCGUGACGGGGUUACCCCGAGUGCUGUCCGUUGAGGAUAGCUUUUCCCCAGUGUAAGGAACUGGGGGAAUAAAGGGGGGGCAAGUCUGGUGUCAGCCGCCGCGGUAAUACCAGCCCCCUGAGUGAUAGGGACGACUAUUUAGCCUAAAGCGUCCGUAGCCGGCUUAGCAAGUCUUUCGUUAAAUCUGACGACUUAAUCGCCAGGCCGCGGAAGAUACUGCCAGGCUAGAGGGCGGGAGAGGUUGACGGUAGUCCCGGGGUAGGGGUGAAAUCCUAUAAUCCUGGGAGGACCACCAGUGGCGAAGGCGGUCAACUAGAACGCGCCUGACGGUGAGGGACGAAAGCUGGGGGAGCGAACCGGAUUAGACACCCGGGUAGUCCCAGCUGUAAACGAUGCGGGCUAGGUGUUGGAGCAGCUACGAGCUGCUCCAGUGCCGCAGAGAAGUUGUUAAGCCCGCCGCUUGGGAAGUACGGCCGCGAGGCUGAAACUUAAAGGAAUUGGCGGGGGAGCAC
RNAcentral lists this ribosomal RNA (576 nucleotides) under uncultured archaeon. RNAcentral describes it as "bacterial SSU rRNA". It matches the Rfam family "Archaeal small subunit ribosomal RNA", at positions 301 to 879 of the family's 1478-position model. The record is from RNAcentral.